This 328-nucleotide ribosomal RNA is filed under the name uncultured Bacillota bacterium. RNAcentral describes it as "bacterial SSU rRNA". It matches the Rfam family "Bacterial small subunit ribosomal RNA", at positions 28 to 351 of the family's 1533-position model. The record is from RNAcentral. Lineage: Bacteria; Bacillati; Bacillota.
GACGAACGCUGGCGGCGUGCCUAAUACAUGCAAGUCGAGCGGUUUUUACCUUCGGGUAAGAGUAGCGGCGGACGGGUGAGUAACACGUAGGUAACCUGCCUACCAGACUGGGAUAACUACCGGAAACGGUAGCUAAGACCGGAUACGUCAACUUGGGGGCAUCCCGGAGUUGAGAAAAGCGGAGCAAUCUGCUGCUGGAAGAUGGACCUGCGGCGCAUUAGCUAGUUGGUGAGGUAGAGGCUCACCAAGGCGACGAUGCGUAGCCGACCUGAGAGGGUGAACGGCCACACUGGGACUGAGACACGGCCCAGACUCCUACGGGUGGCUG